ACAGCAGUAGCCGCGGUAAUACGAAGGGUGCAAGCGUUACUCGGAAUUACUGGGCGUAAAGCGUGCGUAGGUGGUGGUUUAAGUCCGUUGUGAAAGCCCUGGGCUCAACCUGGGAAUUGCAGUGGAUACUGGGUCACUAGAGUGUGGUAGAGGAUAGUGGAAUUUCCGGUGUAGCAGUGAAAUGCGUAGAGAUCGGAAGGAACAUCUGUGGCGAAGGCGACUAUCUGGGCCAACACUGACACUGAGGCACGAAAGCGUGGGGAGCAAACAGGAUUAGAUACCCGCGUAGUCCCUGUCUCUUAUAA
Molecule: ribosomal RNA, 305 nt
Filed under: uncultured bacterium
Lineage: Bacteria
Description: partial 16S ribosomal RNA
Rfam family: Bacterial small subunit ribosomal RNA
Source: RNAcentral